Long non-coding RNA from Rhipicephalus sanguineus (brown dog tick), 322 nucleotides. RefSeq lists it as uncharacterized. Lineage: Eukaryota; Metazoa; Arthropoda; Arachnida; Ixodida; Ixodidae. The record is from RefSeq and is a predicted model, not a curated record. The transcript has 3 exons.
AUAGAUGCAAGAUUUGAAGGCUGCGUUGAGGUGGUCGACGACACGUAUGUGACCAACCCUGCCGGUGACUGCCCUCGCACUCGGGGCCCGUGCACGACGCCUUUAUGUGGAAGACAUCCACCGUGAGCCAGGACUGGGCAGUGGACGCCGUGGCCAGGUGAUAGUGCAUACUCGCUUCAACCUUGGCUGCUUAACCCCAUCCCUGGAGCACAUCCUGCAGAAUCCUCUGCUGCCCGAUUCCACCACACCCACUCUUCACUGCGGUGCGUCGUAUAACUGUGCACUGGAGUCCUCAAGGCCCACUUUCGGUGCUUGCAGAGGU